AAUGAGCUAGCUAGAACAAUUUAGCAAAGAGACCUUAAGCUAAAACCCCCGAAACCAGACGAGCUACUUAUGAACAACCCACAGGGGUAAACUCAUCUGUGUC
This 103-nucleotide ribosomal RNA is filed under the name Lutra lutra (Eurasian river otter). RNAcentral describes it as "partial large subunit ribosomal RNA". Lineage: Eukaryota; Metazoa; Chordata; Mammalia; Carnivora; Mustelidae. The record is from RNAcentral.